AGCUGGUCUGAAGGUAGUGAGUUAUCUCACUUUAUUGUUCAUAGUCGGUUACAGACUCAACUUCUUAUUCUACUACUUUCCCCCUUUCCCACUACUGCACUUGACUAGUCUAAA
RNAcentral lists this Y RNA (114 nucleotides) under Microcebus murinus (gray mouse lemur). RNAcentral's name for it is "Y RNA (ENSMICG00000044866.1)". It matches the Rfam family "Y RNA". Rfam says of the family: Y RNAs are components of the Ro ribonucleoprotein particle (Ro RNP), in association with Ro60 and La proteins. The Y RNAs and Ro60 and La proteins are well conserved, but the function of the Ro RNP is not known. In humans the RNA component can be one of four small RNAs -- hY1, hY3, hY4 and hY5. The record is from Rfam by way of RNAcentral. Lineage: Eukaryota; Metazoa; Chordata; Mammalia; Primates; Cheirogaleidae.